GUCUAUGGCCAUGCCACCCUGAACAUGCCCGAUCUCAUCUGAUCUCAGAAGCUAAGCAGGGUCAGGCCUGGUUAGUACUUGGAUAGGAGACCACCUAGGAAUACUAGGUGCUGUAGGCA
This 119-nucleotide ribosomal RNA is filed under the name Pteropus alecto (black flying fox). RNAcentral also lists the same sequence under 1 other name. Lineage: Eukaryota; Metazoa; Chordata; Mammalia; Chiroptera; Pteropodidae. The record is from RNAcentral.